This 182-nucleotide ribosomal RNA is filed under the name uncultured Thermoplasmatales archaeon. RNAcentral describes it as "partial 16S ribosomal RNA". It matches the Rfam family "Archaeal small subunit ribosomal RNA", at positions 799 to 981 of the family's 1478-position model. The record is from RNAcentral. Lineage: Archaea; Methanobacteriati; Thermoplasmatota; Thermoplasmata; Thermoplasmatales.
UGCCGGAGAGAAGUUGUUAAGCCUGCUGCUUGGGGAGUACGUCCGCAAGGAUGAAACUUAAAGGAAUUGGCGGGGGAGCACCGCAACGGGAGGAGCGUGCGGUUCAAUUGGAUUCAACGCCGGACAACUCACCAGGGACGACGAUUACAUGAAGGCCAGGCUGAUGACCUUGCCUGAUUUUC